UACGUAGGGUGCAAGCGUUGUCCGGAAUUAUUGGGCGUAAAGAGCUCGUAGGCGGUUUGUUGCGUCGGCUGUGAAAUCCCGAGGCUCAACCUCGGGUCUGCAGUCGAUACGAGCAAACUAGAGUGUUGCAGGGGAGACUGGAAUUCCUGGUGUAGCGGUGAAAUGCGCAGAUAUCAUGAGGAAGACCAGUGGCGAAGGCGGAUCUCUGGACAGUUCCUGACACUGAGGCACGAAGGCCAGGGGAGCAAACGGG
RNAcentral lists this ribosomal RNA (253 nucleotides) under uncultured bacterium. RNAcentral's name for it is "partial 16S ribosomal RNA". It matches the Rfam family "Bacterial small subunit ribosomal RNA", at positions 524 to 776 of the family's 1533-position model. The record is from RNAcentral.